CGGGUCCAGCCUUUCGAAAGAAAGAUUAAUCCCCGAUGGUGUCAGGCAGUUCCAUGACAGCCUGACUAAAGAGUUAUCGGCCGCCGAUGGGGAUGCGUUCCAUUAGCUUGUUGGCGGGGUAACGGCCCACCAAGGCGACGAUGGAUAGGGGUUCUGAGAGGAAGGCCCCCCACAUUGGGACUGAGACACGGCCCAAACUC
RNAcentral lists this ribosomal RNA (200 nucleotides) under Bacteroides gallinaceum. RNAcentral describes it as "partial 16S ribosomal RNA". It matches the Rfam family "Bacterial small subunit ribosomal RNA", at positions 138 to 338 of the family's 1533-position model. The record is from RNAcentral. Lineage: Bacteria; Pseudomonadati; Bacteroidota; Bacteroidia; Bacteroidales; Bacteroidaceae.